CGCGGGAUGGAGCAGUUUGGUAGCUCGUCGGGCUCAACUCUUUAUAAAAGCUAGACGAAGGUCGUUGGUUCAAAUCCGGCUCCCGCAACCA
This 91-nucleotide transfer RNA is filed under the name Shewanella pneumatophori. RNAcentral describes it as "tRNA-Tyr". It matches the Rfam family "tRNA". From Rfam's summary of the family: Transfer RNA (tRNA) molecules are approximately 80 nucleotides in length. Their secondary structure includes four short double-helical elements and three loops (D, anti-codon, and T loops). The record is from RNAcentral. Lineage: Bacteria; Pseudomonadati; Pseudomonadota; Gammaproteobacteria; Alteromonadales; Shewanellaceae.